This 21-nucleotide non-coding RNA is filed under the name Caenorhabditis elegans. The record is from RNAcentral. Lineage: Eukaryota; Metazoa; Nematoda; Chromadorea; Rhabditida; Rhabditidae.
CAAACGCUCGUUUCCCUUUGA